RNAcentral lists this ribosomal RNA (377 nucleotides) under uncultured bacterium. Its description in RNAcentral is "bacterial SSU rRNA". It matches the Rfam family "Bacterial small subunit ribosomal RNA", at positions 521 to 896 of the family's 1533-position model. The record is from RNAcentral.
UAAUACGUAGGUGGCAAGCGUUGUCCGGAUUUACUGGGCGUAAAGGAUGCGUAGGCGGAUAUUUAAGUGGGAUGUGAAAUACCCGGGCUCAACUUGGGUGCUGCAUUCCAAACUGGAUAUCUAGAGUGUGGGAGAGGAAAAUGGAAUUCCUAGUGUAGCGGUGAAAUGCGUAGAGAUUAGGAAGAACACCAGUGGCGAAGGCGAUUUUCUGGACCAUAACUGACGCUGAGGCAUGAAAGCGUGGGGAGCAAACAGGAUUAGAUACCCUGGUAGUCCACGCCGUAAACGAUGGGUACUAGGUGUAGGGGGUAUCGACUCCCUCUGUGCCGCAGUUAACACAAUAAGUACCCCGCCUGGGGAGUACGGUCGCAAGAUUA